This is a non-coding RNA of Ciona savignyi (Pacific transparent sea squirt), 59 nucleotides long. Lineage: Eukaryota; Metazoa; Chordata; Ascidiacea; Phlebobranchia; Cionidae. The record is from Rfam.
GAUAACUGGCUUGUGGCAGCAAAGCGUUCAUAGCGACGUUGCCUUUUGAUCCUUGGACG